Molecule: small nuclear RNA, 106 nt
Organism: Camelus dromedarius (Arabian camel)
Lineage: Eukaryota; Metazoa; Chordata; Mammalia; Artiodactyla; Camelidae
Source: Ensembl
AUGCUUGCUUCUUAGCACCCAUACUAAAAUCAGAACAAGACAGAGAAGAUUAAUGUGGCUCCUGCACAAGGAUGACAUGCAAAUUUGUGAAGCGUUCCAUGUUUAA